RNAcentral lists this unclassified non-coding RNA (2055 nucleotides) under Polistes canadensis. RNAcentral's name for it is "luc7-like protein 3, transcript variant X2". The record is from RNAcentral. Lineage: Eukaryota; Metazoa; Arthropoda; Insecta; Hymenoptera; Vespidae.
UACACGCUAGUGUCAUCUACAGUGUAAAAGUGUUUGCAAAAUUCUAUUAAAAUUAUAAAUUUUUUCGGCCAUUAGUUAUUCUAUGUACGUGGAAUUAAUCUGGACUAUAUUAACGUUCAAUUUUUUUAUUAUUCAUCUAUUUUUUCGUCACAGUUAAAUAAGAAAUCAAUUGUUCCUUUGACAAUCGUUUGGUGUUCUCAUCGACGUUUUGAAGCUUUCGCUUAACAUUGGGAGUGUUGAAUCAUAUUUGGGAAUAUGGCUGCUGCUGCUGCUGCUGCGUUACUCGACGAGCUUAUGGGAAGAAAUAGAAAUGUUCUUCCUAACGAAAAACCUAAAGAACUUAAUUGGGAGGAUCCUGAGUUUUGCAAAUUAUAUUUGGUUAAAUUCUGUCCUCACGAUUUAUUCGUUAACACUCGAGCUGAUCUCGGAGCUUGUUCUCGAGUUCACGAUGAUGAAGCAAGAGACCUUUUUGAGAAAGCGCCAUAUUCCUAUCGUAAACAACAAUAUGAAGAUGAAUUUAUUAGAUUUUGUCAAAGUAUGCUCAACGAGGUUGAAAGGAAAAUUGUAAAAGGCAAACAACGUCUUGCUCUUAUCGGAAGAACUGAAGCACCUACUCUGACUCCUGCACAAACUCAAAGAAACGAAGAACAAAUAGCUCUGCUAACGGAGAAGAUUAACAAAUUAGUCGAAGAAGCUGAACAAAGUGGAAUUCAAGGAAACGUUGAACAAGCUCAAGGCCUAAUGAGACUUUGUGACCAAUUAAAAGAAGAACGAGAAGCCCUUAGAAAGUCCAAUGACAAUAGUCAUUAUAAUCAAACCGCUGAAUUAGCUGCAGCUCAAGAAAAACAGAUGGAAGUUUGCGACGUGUGCGGUGCUUUUCUCAUUGUCGGAGAUGCUCAACAACGAAUCGAUGAUCACUUGAUGGGUAAACAACAUGUUGGUUAUGCCAGAUUAAAAACUGCUCUUCAAGAAAUUAUGUGUAAACGUGAAAAAGCACGAGACGAAAAAGAGCAGAAAAGAGAAGAAGAAAGAAAGCAGAGAGCACGUGCUAAUGAAGAACUCGACAGACGAAGGAGAGAAAGUGACAGAGAUAGAGAUAGAGAAAGAGAUAAACGUCGUAGACGUAUAGAUGAUGACAAGGGUAGACAUGACUCUGGGGGUCAUAGAAAUUCUGGUCAUAGAAGUAGGAGCAGGUCUAGAGAGAAACAUGAUCGGCAUCGCGAUGACGAUAAUCAUCGACGUCAUGCUCGCGAUAAAGGAAAUCGGGAUCAUCGAAGCUCGAGUCACCAUAAUCGUCGUCGCCAUCGAUCUCGAAGUCGAAGUCACAAGUAACUACUCUUGAUUGGUUAGUGAGUGAGAACUAAGCCAGGUAUGCACUAAACAGUUAACGAUAUAUUCGUCUCAUUUACUGUACAGGUUCUUUACCAGGUGAGUUUCAUUAGAUGCACAUAAUAUGUACAUGAUAAUUAUCUGUGAUUUUGAAGAAUCGCAUACAGUCACAACGUACCAGUCUUUGAUCCUGCCUAUUAAUUGGAGAAAUGCUCUUACUAAAUUUCAUAUGGACCUGAUUGUACAGCAUUUUAUUUUCAAUGUGACGAGCUCAUUGUAUGUAACAUAUAGCUUGAAAAAAAGCUGCAUCGAGGUAAUGUUGAGCGAGGAGUAGUAAAGUCGUUCACAAAAUAAAGGUAUAUUUAUCAUGUAGUAUUAUAGAUAUUGUCUACAGAGCAAGAUAGGAGAAGGUAUACCUAUGCUUGCUUUGAUCGGUAUAAUGUCUUCAUAGGUUAAAUACAGUAAAUUGUGUUAUGUCAACGACUGCAUAGCUUUUUUGUCGAAAAGAAAUUAGUGAAUUAGUGGAGGAAACAGUGCCUACUUCCGUAGACCUGCAACACGGCAGUGCCCUGUGUGACUGUGACUAUACAAACCUAGCUUCUGCUACGCAUUUCUGAGAAUGAAGACAGGACAAUGGAAAUUAACCAGUUUGAAGGAUCCACGUGCACUCCGCUUUAUGUAUUAUUAAGGUAAAGAUUUUGCAUAAUCUUCACAUUGAAAAUUUAU